CCACAGUGAAGGCACUUAGCACCUUUGGGUGAACACUUGGCAGGAACGUACAACAGGGAGAGCAAAGUCUACACUUUGUGGCUGACCUCUCCCAGCAUUCACCCCAAACAGGCGCCCCCAUCUCCUCUACCAGGAACUAAAGGGCCAGCCAUGCACUGAAAGCCUCCUGAAGCGGGAUCUGGGACCAAACAAGUGGAGACCUCGACCCCCAGCCCCUUCUCCUCUGAUGAGGGGUAGUGAGCCACAUCACGAAUUGGCACAGAUAUUGGAUUCAAGACUUAAGCGUGGACACCUUUAUUACUUAAUCAGGUGGAAAGACUUUGACCCCUUAACUUGUACGUGCAUUUCACAAAAUGUAUCCAAGUAAACCUGAACCUUUUCCCUGAUGGUCGCAGCAGAUAUAAUGGACCACCUGUGCACCCUGACCCCC
This is a long non-coding RNA of Gekko japonicus, 430 nucleotides long. RefSeq lists it as uncharacterized. Lineage: Eukaryota; Metazoa; Chordata; Lepidosauria; Squamata; Gekkonidae. The record is from RefSeq and is a predicted model, not a curated record. The transcript has 3 exons.